UAGAGGGUAGUAUAAGUGGUAGUACCUAAAGUUUUGGGCUUUAGUGUAUAGGUUCGUGGCCUAUUCCUCUA
Molecule: transfer RNA, 71 nt
Filed under: Nephrurus levis
Lineage: Eukaryota; Metazoa; Chordata; Lepidosauria; Squamata; Carphodactylidae
Description: tRNA-Gln
Source: RNAcentral